Molecule: ribosomal RNA, 253 nt
Filed under: uncultured bacterium
Lineage: Bacteria
Description: partial 16S ribosomal RNA
Rfam family: Bacterial small subunit ribosomal RNA
Source: RNAcentral
GACAGAGGGUGCAAACGUUGCUCGGAAUCACUGGGCGUAAAGGGCGUGUAGGCGGGGAUAUAAGUCAGGCGUGAAAGCCCUAGGCUCAACCUAGGAAUUGCGCUUGAAACUGUGUUCCUUGAGUGUCGGAGAGGAAAGUGGAAUUCCUGGUGUAGAGGUGAAAUUCGUAGAUAUCAGGAGGAACACCAGUGGCGAAGGCGGCUUUCUGGACGACAACUGACGCUGAGACGCGAAAGCGUGGGGAGCAAACAGG